GAUGAAGAACGUAGCGAAACGCGAUAUGUAAUGUGAAUUGCAGAAUUCAGUGAAUCAUCGAAUCUUUGAACGCACAUGGCGCCUUCCAGUAUCCUGGGAGGCAUGCCUGUCCGAGCGUCGUUUCAACCCUCGAGCCCCCGUGGCCCGGCGUUGGGGAUCUGCCCAGGCAGUCCCCGAAAACGAGUGGCGGACCCGUUACAGGCCCUUCCCUUGCGUAGUAGCAUUCGCCUCGCAUCGGGAGCCGGCGGGCUUCCAGCCUCUAAACCCCCAUCAAGUCCGCCCCGGCGGCACCAAGGUUGACCUCGGAUCAGGUAGGAAUACCCGCUGAACUUAAGCAUAUCAAUAAGCGGAGGA
This 354-nucleotide unclassified non-coding RNA is filed under the name soil metagenome. RNAcentral's name for it is "partial contains 5.8S ribosomal RNA, internal transcribed spacer 2, and large subunit ribosomal RNA". The stretch from base 1 to 120 matches the Rfam family "5.8S ribosomal RNA", at positions 35 to 154 of the family's 154-position model. The record is from RNAcentral.